AUCAAUUACAGGAUGUUCCACAGAUGGUUAAAACCUAAAGUAAUCUGUCCAAAUAAUUUAAAACACCUUUCUGUUUUUCAGCGUGUAAGCUUGCUUGAGUUUCCAUCUUGCUUAAGGGGAAGCCUCCUACAAAGAAAUAUUCAUUUUGUGCCUACAUAACAAGCCUAACUAGAAACAGCCAUUCAGUGGCAGCCAAAGAGCACGUUCCUUGAAUAUUCAUGGCACAGAAGAUGUGAAAUGUACAACCUGGGGUACUGGGAACCAACAGACACUACACAGUUGUUCCUGAAGUUCAGCUGCUAUUCCCAGGUAUUGGCUAAUUAGUCCAAUAAUAUAAAUUACUACCUUUCUAAUUUUGUUUUAAAUUGCAUGAAUUUGCCAAGUUAAAAAUGUUAAUUGUGUUUAAUGCAGAUGUGCUUCCCCAGUUGGUGAAAGACAUCAGGCGGUUAAUAGCAUAUGGUUUUUCUCAUCUAUAAAUCGUGGCUUUCACAUGCUUUGCUCUGUGAUGGGUCUUUGUAAGGUAAAUAUGGAACUAAUUUGCAAAUCUGAUUGCUGAGAAAUUAUGCUAUGGGAAGGAAAACAGAUUAAUCGCAGGGAAAAGGUGUUCUUCUUAACAUCUGGUAUGACUCAAAGUCUUCUGAAUAAUGGCUUGCUUUUGAAAGAGACAUUUACAGCAAAACUUGUUACAAGUUGGACUGGGUGAGAAUUUUGUUUUAGAUCACUUUUUUUAGGAUAUUGCCAAAUUCAUAUUUCAUCAUAUUUAGGAUGAGAAGAUGAGAUUCUGAACACAAUGUAGAAGAAACUAAAAACUGAGUGAAUCAUUUAUCUAGAUCUAAAUCUUUUAAUGCUUAAUUCUUAGAUGUCUAAGUUUGAAUUCCCCUUAACAUCUCAUUUGGCUUUUUUUAUUGUUGUUGUUAGCAUCCCACCUUUGGUUUAAGCCACUUUUACUGUUUCUACUUUAACGUCCUUUGGCACAGUACUGAAUUUAGCACAGGGAAGUAAAAGAGAACUCUUCAGUGGCAGGUUUAGCUUUCUGAGUCUUGUAAUGAGAUGGAAAUCACUGACAAGAAGCAAAGAAAUGCCAUAGGCAAAAUAGGGGGACAGAAUGGCUAAGCUGGGAGGGUGUUAAAAACACCUGGAAAGAAUUGCUAUCUUAAAACAAGCAGAACAAAGUAGUGGCAGAUGUCAAACAGUUGUGCCAGAUUGUGGUUAUUUAAGCAAACUACUUGGCAUGCUGAGCCAUUGCUAUAAGACAUGUUGCAAGGGUAUAUGUGGAGGAAACGUCCUUUUUGAGUCAUGAUUACUUGUUUCAGAGCUUGCUGUUCAUUAUAUUAAGCUAAGGCUUAAAUAAUAAUAUAAAUUUGCAAUAAAUUGCUUCAGGAAACUCA
Molecule: long non-coding RNA, 1388 nt
Filed under: Pogona vitticeps (central bearded dragon)
Lineage: Eukaryota; Metazoa; Chordata; Lepidosauria; Squamata; Agamidae
Description: lncRNA (ENSPVIG00000004083.1)
Source: RNAcentral